AUCCACACGACUCUCGGCAACGGAUAUCUCGGCUCUCGCAUCGAUGAAGAACGUAGCGAAAUGCGAUACCUGGUGUGAAUUGCAGAAUCCCGCGAACCAUCGAGUCUUUGAACGCAAGUUGCGCCCGAGGCCUCUUGGCCAAGGGCACGCCUGCCUGGGCGUC
RNAcentral lists this ribosomal RNA (163 nucleotides) under Poa trivialis. RNAcentral's name for it is "5.8S ribosomal RNA". It matches the Rfam family "5.8S ribosomal RNA". From Rfam's summary of the family: 5.8S ribosomal RNA (5.8S rRNA) is a component of the large subunit of the eukaryotic ribosome. The record is from RNAcentral. Lineage: Eukaryota; Viridiplantae; Streptophyta; Magnoliopsida; Poales; Poaceae.